GUGUCAGCAGCCGCGGUAAUACAGAGGUGGCAAGCGUUGUUCGGAAUUACUGGGCGUAAAGGGCGCGUAGGCGGCCUUCUAAGUCAGACGUGAAAUCCCCAGGCUUAACUUGGGAACUGCGUCUGAUACUGGGAGGCUUGAGUGCGGGAGAGGGAUGUGGAAUUCCAGGUGUAGCGGUGAAAUGCGUAGAUAUCUGGAGGAACACCGGUGGCGAAGGCGGCAUCCUGGACCGACACUGACGCUGAGGCGCGAAAGCUAGGGGAGCAAACGGGAUUAGAUACCCCUGUAGUCC
Molecule: ribosomal RNA, 292 nt
Filed under: uncultured bacterium
Lineage: Bacteria
Description: partial 16S ribosomal RNA
Rfam family: Bacterial small subunit ribosomal RNA
Source: RNAcentral